UACGGAGGGUGCAAGGCGUUAUCCGGAUUUACUGGGUUUAAAGGGUGCGUAGGUGGGUCUGUAAGUCAGUGGUGGAAAUCUCCGAGCUUAACUCGGAAACUGCCAUUGAUACUAUAGAUCUUGAAUUAUCUGGAGGUGAGCGGAAUAUGUCAUGUAGCGGUGAAAUGCUUAGAUAUGACAUAGAACACCAAUUGCGAAGGCAGCUCACUACGGAUUGAUUGACACUGAGGCACGAAAGCGUGGGGAUCAAACAGG
This 255-nucleotide ribosomal RNA is filed under the name uncultured bacterium. RNAcentral's name for it is "partial 16S ribosomal RNA". It matches the Rfam family "Bacterial small subunit ribosomal RNA", at positions 524 to 776 of the family's 1533-position model. The record is from RNAcentral.